AAGUCGUAACAAGGUUUCCGUAGGUGAACCUGCGGAAGGAUCAUUAAAGUGUUUCGGAGCCUGGCUCGGGCAUCUCACCUCGAGGUGUCGGUGUCAGCGCCCCCACACGUGUUUACUCAACUUGGUUGCCUUGGUGAGCCUGCCCUCGUGGCUGCCGGGGAUGCCUCACGGCGUUCCGGGCUCGUGCUCACCAGUGGAUCAUUUGAACUCUUCUGUGAAAAUAGCCAGUCUGAGCAUUAUGCAAAUUAAAUAAAACUUUCAACAACGGAUCUCUUGGUUCCG
Molecule: unclassified non-coding RNA, 282 nt
Rfam family: Eukaryotic small subunit ribosomal RNA (bases 1-46)